CCUGUCCAUAACGAGCUUGCAGUCAAGAGGUGAUAAUAAUUCUGGUAUUUGUUAAGUGCUUACUAUGUGCCAGGCGCUGUCCUGAGCGCUAGGGUGGAUACAAGCAAAUCAGGUUGGACGCAGACCCUGCCCCCAUGUGGGGCUCACAGUCUCAAUCCCCAUUUCACAGAUAAGGUAACUGAAGUCCAGAGAAGCGAAGUGACUUGCCCAAGGUCACCCGGCAGACAAGUGGCAGAGCAGGGAUUAGAACCCAAGACCUUCUGACUCUCAAGCCCUUGUUCUAUCCACUCUGCCGUGCUGCUUCUCUGUACAAUUCAGCAGGGUUGGUAGACUCAGAGCGCGGCUCAGUGGAAAGAGGCCGGGCUUAGGAGUCAGAGGUCGUGGGUUCUAAUCCCGGCUCCGCCACCUGUCAGCUGUGUGUGACUUUGGGCAAGUCGCCUGCCUUCUCGGUGCCUCAGUUCCCUCAUCUGUAAAGUGGGGAUUAAGACUGUGAGCCCCACGUGGGACAACCUGAUGACCCUGUAACUUACCCCAGCGCUUAGAACAGUGCUCGGCACAUACUAAGCGCUUAACAAAACCCAACAUUAUCAUCAUCCCCUGUCCGCAGUGAACUUACAGUCUAGAUGGGGGUGAAAAGACAACGGGGUUGAGCCCGUGAGGAUUAAAAUGAGAGUUCUUGGAAAGAAUUAAAGCUCUGGAGAAAUUCACAACGUGAUAGCAGUCACCAGUCCAACGUUCUUCAUGCUCUUCCACCUGGAAGAAGAAGAAGAAGAAGAAGAAGAGGGAGGAGGAGGAGGAGGAAUAAUAAUAAUGUGAUAAUCGUAUCAAGUGCCGGGGUCAAGUCAAGACAACCAGUUCGAACACCUUCUCUGUCCUACGUGGGGCUCACGGUCUAAAGGCGAUAACUACCUCAUCCCCCGUUUCAGAGAUGAGAAACUGAAGCCCAGAGAUGUCAAGCGACUUGCCCAAGGUAGCACGGCGGACGGCUGGCGGAGCCGGGAUUAGAACUCGGGUCCCCCGACCUCCGGCGCCAUGGUCGUGCUGUGACUCAAUCAGACUGCUGGAGAGAGGACGGAUUGAUUCCCCCGAAGACGUGUGAGGCGCUGAUCUGGGGUGAUUAUCCGUCCCCUCCCAUCGCGGUGUCGCCGAGGAGAAAGAUGUUCUGACCUUUCCAGUGGACACAGUGACGUCCGGGAAGCGGGGGGGGGGGGGCUCAGCGUGAUCGAUCACGGAACUGGGAGUCAGAGGACCCAGAUUCUCCUCCGGGCUCGGUCACGCGCCUGCUGUGUGACCUCAGGCAAGUCAUUUUACUUCUCUGUGCCUCGGUCGCCUCAUAAAGUCAUUUCACUUCUCCAUGCCUCUGAUCCUUCAAUAAAUGGGACUGAAUGAAGCAUUCCGUCCUUGGUUCAAUUGUGUUUAUUGAGCUCUCGGUGUGAUGAUGAUCAUGGCAUUUGUUAAGCGCUUCGUAUGCGCCGA
RNAcentral lists this long non-coding RNA (1476 nucleotides) under Ornithorhynchus anatinus (platypus). Its description in RNAcentral is "lncRNA (ENSOANG00000041875.1)". Lineage: Eukaryota; Metazoa; Chordata; Mammalia; Monotremata; Ornithorhynchidae. The record is from RNAcentral.